Molecule: long non-coding RNA, 1136 nt
Organism: Lolium rigidum
Lineage: Eukaryota; Viridiplantae; Streptophyta; Magnoliopsida; Poales; Poaceae
Exons: 5
Source: RefSeq, a predicted model, not a curated record
AGACCCCCAUGGAGGCGGUGGGUUUGUUGAAGCCACGGCUGGAGGAGGCCAUCGACUGCGUCAUGAACCCGCAUCACGGCACCCCCGUUCCACCGUGGUGACAAGCACUUCCACUUCCACUUCCACAACUCCAGCCUCUAGACGCGGAGCGUACUCAACGUGCAGAUACAAUAUAAGUACAUGACGAUAGGAAGUACUUUGCAUUUUGGUGACAAGAAACAUGGACAAUUGGGGAUAUGUUCAUUAAAGACAUAACUGAGGAGCACUGUCGGUUCAUCUGGCCUGCAGUUUGAUUAUACAACUCAACAUUUAGUUGCUCAAGGUUUAAAUAUAUCAGGCUUAUAAUCAAAGGAGCAUUCCAAAAAGAAAGGUUCCAGUGUGAAUGAUAAUAAUGACAACCCUGCUUAUGAAAUGACUCCGGAUGGUCAGCGACAGAAGGAUGGUUCAACCGAUCUUUCAUCAAGCAAAGAAGCAAAAGCUGAUUCUCACAAAGUGCAUACAACUGGUGAUCCGCAUGAGAGUAAAAUACAUACAAUUUGAUAUCUUACCUAGUGAUCCGCUAUUUCCUGAUGGGGAAGUUCUUCAAACAAAGUGCAUCUCCAGUUUCCCUGAUGAUCCGCAUGAUAAUAAAAUACAAAUCAGAAAAGGUACGAAACAACAGUUUGAAAACUGCAUACAGCCAAGAGGCGUGGUUAUGUACCUUUACUCUCCCAAAUGAUUCCAGGAGUUCUCUCGCAUAACAAUGGUGCAGGGUACCCUUUAUAUGCAUGCUUUAGGAUUCUAUGGUUUCAGGCAAGUACCGAUAUGGUUGAUCUGCAAUGAUGGAGUUUCCUUUGAAAUGUGAUUGAUCCCUGAAAUGUUGCGGUUUUCUUUCUUUUACCUGACAUAAUGGUGUGUUGAUAGAUCCCUGAAAUGUUGUGUGCACUUUCCUGGAAUGCGGGAUGAAUUAAUGUUGCGAUUUCCUAUUCUGUGGGGGGUGAUUAUGCGCUGGACUUUCCUGGAAUGCUUAUGUGGUUUCCUAUUUUUGUUUACACGCUGGACAUUUAGGUAAGAUGGUUAUGAUGGCAAUAAACAAAAUGCCUCUGAUUGUAAGAUGGUUAUAUGGUAAGAUGAUUAUGUCUCCGAUUUUUUUUGUC